GGGCCCGCUCGGGCCGCCGCUGCCGCCCGCGGCUUUGCGGCGCUCACGUGGUGGGAAGGAGUUUCUGGAGGAGCGGGUGGGACGUGGCUCCGAGCAGCGAGGGGAAGAGUAGCUCGGUUUCAGUUUCAGCCCCCCACCCCCCGCGCGCUUAUUUUACUUACUUAUUUUAUUUUUCUUUUAUUUUCCCCUGUAUUUCCAUACGUGAGCACUGAGGGUAGGGAGUGGGAUGGUAGAGGCCUCUGCCCUGCACAAUGUUACAUAUAAAGUUCUAGCCAUAUAGCCCAAAAUAGGGUUCUGGUAUACUCGGUUGUAAGGGAAAUGGUGUCAUAAAGGGAAUCAGGAAAAUGCCAUUAAAUGGUUACCAAAAAGGAGAAGAAAGCAUGGAGGAAAGUAUAAAGGCUACGAGUGUGGACCUGAGACAAAGUGUUUGCUACCUGCAAGAAGCUUGGAAGAGUGAGCAGAUACAGAAGGACAAGAAGACUGCCAGAAGGUAUUUGUAAUUGAAGGACAAGACGGAUUUUAAGAUCUUGCAGGAAAGGUGAACUCUGUUAAGUCUCUGCAGGGGCUGCUUGCAGCUUCAGGACCUUGCCUUGUGCAAUCGUCACCCAGCUGGGUGGCAGAAACCUCUACCGAGCCUACCGCACCACUGCCCUGGAAACUUGCGCCACAGAUUUCUCUGGGGUGCUGUGCUGAAUAAAAAGUGAGCUGUUUUAAAUAACUGUAGAAAUGAAAGAGUCUGAUGUUUUAGUAUGCUUCUAAUAAUAAUCUGGCUCGUGUUUAUACACUGGGAGCUUUCAAACCUCUUCUGUUCACAGAGAGUUGUGUCAAAAGAUCAGGAGAAGCAUAAAAUAGGAACUGCUAUUCAUAACUACCACUCCAUGAAGAUUGUUUCCAUGUGGAGAUGAUGGAUCAUUUAGAAGACAUCGUAUCUCAAGUACCAAGCUGUGGAGAACUGGACAAGGAGAUGUUUCUUUCUUUUCCUGCACCUGUGUCUUGCCAACAAACACUAUAUGUGCCAGUUCAUCACAAACUGAUGACAAGGAGGAGCAAGCAAUCGAUGGUCAGGUUGUGACUGCGAUGAAGGCAAUAACAACAGUACUGGAGCAAGAAAUCCCAGAGCAGCUUGACAGACAAAAACUUAUACAUGAGACAGGCAUACCUGCUUUGAAGCAUAUUUUAGAAGAUAUACAGCUGAAAGGACCAGGACAUGUAACUUUUAAAAUUCUGGUUGUACUCUUUUUGGUUAAAUUAUGGAAAAGGCUGUGA
RNAcentral lists this long non-coding RNA (1266 nucleotides) under Apteryx rowi (Okarito brown kiwi). Its description in RNAcentral is "lncRNA (ENSARWG00000010541.1)". The record is from RNAcentral. Lineage: Eukaryota; Metazoa; Chordata; Aves; Apterygiformes; Apterygidae.